This 93-nucleotide ribosomal RNA is filed under the name Klebsiella aerogenes. RNAcentral also lists the same sequence under 69 other names. The record is from RNAcentral. Lineage: Bacteria; Pseudomonadati; Pseudomonadota; Gammaproteobacteria; Enterobacterales; Enterobacteriaceae.
CCCACCUGACCCCAUGCCGAACUCAGAAGUGAAACGCCGUAGCGCCGAUGGUAGUGUGGGGUCUCCCCAUGUGAGAGUAGGGAACUGCCAGGC